RNAcentral lists this ribosomal RNA (106 nucleotides) under uncultured bacterium. RNAcentral describes it as "partial 16S ribosomal RNA". The record is from RNAcentral.
AUACCGUCAGACCCGACCGAGCCGGGAUUUCUUCUCAUAUAAAAGGAGUUUACGCCGCAUAACGGUGUCAUCCUCCACGCGGCGUGGCUGCGUCAGGGUUUCCCCC